RNAcentral lists this long non-coding RNA (765 nucleotides) under Equus caballus (horse). Its description in RNAcentral is "lncRNA (ENSECAG00000057661.1)". The record is from RNAcentral. Lineage: Eukaryota; Metazoa; Chordata; Mammalia; Perissodactyla; Equidae.
AGACAAGUCGUGCUGCUCUCUGGUCAAGGAUUUGUUUGGAGAGCCAUGAUCAUCCCCAUCUGGUGACUUUAAAGUACUUGCCUUAAGAGAUGUGAAAACAUAUGUCCACACAAAAACUUGCACAUGAAUGUUCCCAGCAGUAUUAUUCCUAAUAUCCAAAAAAGUGGAAACAACCCAAAUGUCCAUCAACUGAUGAAUGGAUAAACAGAAAUGUAUUUAUGCCGUGGAAUGUUAUUCAGCCAUAAAAAGGAAUGAAGCACUGAUGCAUGCUGCAACAUGGAUGAACCCUGAGAACAGUAUGCUAAGUGAAAGAAGCCGGACACAAGAGGCCACAUAGUGAAGCCAGCCUUGCCUCAGGGAGGUUUGGUUUGGGGGCUGAAUGCAGAAGUUGUGCAGAGAAGCUGGCUUAUGUUUUCUGGAAGCCUGGAGCCUGGGAGGGCUUGGAGAUUAGUGGACUCCAGGCACUGCAGACCGGAAGGUGCUCCCUACGGUGCCUGCGGCAGGUGGCACGAUGGCAGGACUUCUAUGGCGAGGUUUCGUCGUGUCUCAGAGGCUUAGGGCCUCGGCCUAGGAUUCCCAGCUUCAGCCAAGAUUCCCAAGCUUGGAACGGAAGCUGCCACAAGCCUGCCUCUCUACAGGGACCCACUGGGGAUAUCAGCAGAAGACUUGGUCUCAGGAGAAGAGAGGACCCAUCCUCAUUUUCCAGGCCCACGUAACCUCCUGGAUUUUCACACGUCCCCAGGGAAGGGGACAGCCUGCCCCACC